Molecule: long non-coding RNA, 406 nt
Organism: Carassius gibelio (silver crucian carp)
Lineage: Eukaryota; Metazoa; Chordata; Actinopteri; Cypriniformes; Cyprinidae
Exons: 3
Source: RefSeq, a predicted model, not a curated record
UUGUUUAUAUCUUAAAUAUUUUGCUCACAGAUCACUAUUAACAUUCUGUAUAUAAUUCUGUUUUAUUUUCUUUCCCCUUGUAUUAAUUUUUUAGCUGAAAAAACGUAAAGUAAGCAGUCACCCCAGUGGUGUUUGUGGAGAGGUAUUCCUUCAGAAAUGGAGAAGACAGAAAGCUGCAGAGGCAGGAUUGUUUGCAGAUAAUGCUGUUCUUCUUUUUCAGAAGUUUUUGGGGAGCCAACCCUCACAAACCUUCCUAAAAACUAAAAGAGCUAUUACUGAGUCUCAGCGACUCUUGCCACGAUCAGCUCUUCCCAGAAGAGAAGGAAGACCAAGGAAAUGAUUUGCUCAGGAUGAGGAAUGAAGAUGGUCAUCUUGUGCUCAAGCAAACAGAAGUCCUCUGUUUUGU